RNAcentral lists this ribosomal RNA (398 nucleotides) under uncultured soil bacterium. RNAcentral's name for it is "bacterial SSU rRNA". It matches the Rfam family "Bacterial small subunit ribosomal RNA", at positions 26 to 426 of the family's 1533-position model. The record is from RNAcentral.
AGAUUGAACGCUGGCGGCAUGCCUUACACAUGCAAGUCGAACGGCAGCACGGGAGCAAUCCUGGUGGCGAGUGGCGAACGGGUGAGUAAUAUAUCGGAACGUGCCCAGUCGUGGGGGAUAACGCAGCGAAAGCUGUGCUAAUACCGCAUACGAUCUAUGGAUGAAAGCGGGGGAUCGCAAGACCUCGCGCGAUUGGAGCGGCCGAUAUCAGAUUAGCUAGUUGGUGGGGUAAAAGCCUACCAAGGCGACGAUCUGUAGCUGGUCUGAGAGGACGACCAGCCACACUGGAACUGAGACACGGUCCAGACUCCUACGGGAGCAGCAGUGGGGAAUUUUGGACAAUGGGCGCAAGCCUGAUCCAGCAAUGCCGCGUGCAGGAUGAAGGCCGUUCGGGUUAG